ACCCCAGUGGCUCAGUGGUUGAGCAUCUGUCUUUGGCUCAGGUCAUGAUCCUGGGGUC
This 58-nucleotide transfer RNA is filed under the name Canis lupus familiaris (dog). Lineage: Eukaryota; Metazoa; Chordata; Mammalia; Carnivora; Canidae. RNAcentral also lists the same sequence under 1 other name. The record is from Rfam by way of RNAcentral.